Molecule: non-coding RNA, 24 nt
Filed under: Ichthyophis bannanicus
Lineage: Eukaryota; Metazoa; Chordata; Amphibia; Gymnophiona; Ichthyophiidae
Also listed under: 1 other name
Source: RNAcentral
UGUACCCUGUAGAACCGAAUUUGU